AAGUUAUUCAUAUAUAAUACGACGUGCUUCAUUUCACAGAUGAUAUAAAAAUAAAAUGGAUAGGUGACAAAUUCAGAUUUAUAUUUUAUGUAAUCUGUCAAUUUUUUUCGUUAAACAAAGUUGAAGUCCAAUUUAAUCGGUAUAGCAUUUGAUGAAAUUUCCGAUUUGAAAGAUUUUUUUUAGAAACGCUUGACUUCUCGUUCGAAAACUGUUUAAUGAGGGAUGAUUUAACUAUUUUUUAGGAAUUGAGACUCUAACAAAACUAGUGAAAUGAUAAGAAAUUAAGUUGAUGACACCUUUAAUCAUGAGGGAUCAAUUUUGAAACUAUUCGAUGUUCUUAACUUUUGAAUUCAACAACAUUUUUUCUACUUAGACUUGAGAGAGAGGGAAAAGGGAGAAGUUUGGGUGGGACAAAGAGAGAGGGAGACAGAAAAAGAGAAUAUUUAUCAAAAUGCUAUUAGAGAUAUUAUUUUACGUCGUGUAGCCCUAACGAAAAACGAAAAACAAGAACAUUAUUAAACAAACGUA
Molecule: long non-coding RNA, 528 nt
Filed under: Mytilus galloprovincialis (Mediterranean mussel)
Lineage: Eukaryota; Metazoa; Mollusca; Bivalvia; Mytilida; Mytilidae
Source: RNAcentral